Brassica rapa (field mustard) is the source of this 120-nucleotide non-coding RNA. The record is from Rfam. NCBI's taxonomy places the organism in Eukaryota, Viridiplantae, Streptophyta, Magnoliopsida, Brassicales, Brassicaceae.
AGAAUAUAAGAAACUGUCUCUUAACUUUUAACUAAAAAAACUAAAAACUGGCUCUUAAAUAUCUAAGAGUCGGUUCUUAGCGUUUUCAGUUAAAAGUUAAGAGACAGUUUCUUAUAUUUC